RNAcentral lists this transfer RNA (62 nucleotides) under Pheretima iizukai. RNAcentral describes it as "tRNA-Phe". It matches the Rfam family "tRNA". From Rfam's summary of the family: Transfer RNA (tRNA) molecules are approximately 80 nucleotides in length. The record is from RNAcentral. Lineage: Eukaryota; Metazoa; Annelida; Clitellata; Crassiclitellata; Megascolecidae.
AUUUGGGUAGCUUAAAAUAAAGCACAUCUCUGAAGAAGAUAAGAUGAGAUUCUCCCCAGAUA